UGGGGAAUAUUGGACAAUGGGCGCAAGCCUGAUCCAGCCAUGCCGCGUGAGUGAAGAAGGCCUUCGGGUUGUAAAGCUCUUUCAGAUGUGACGAUGAUGACGGUAGCAUCAGAAGAAGCCCCGGCUAACUUCGUGCCAGCAGCCGCGGUAAUACGAAGGGGGCUAGCGUUGUUCGGAAUUACUGGGCGUAAAGCGCACGUAGGCGGCGUCGUCAGUCAGAGGUGAAAUCCCGGGGCUCAACCUCGGAAUUGCCUUUGAUACUGCGACGCUUGAGUUCGGAAGAGGACAGUGGAAUACCCAGUGUAGAGGUGAAAUUCGUAGAUAUUGGGUGGAACACCAGUGGCGAAGGCGACUGUCUGGUCCGAUACUGACGCUGAGGUGCGAAAGCGUGGGGAGCAAACAGGAUUAGAUACCCCCGUAGUCC
RNAcentral lists this ribosomal RNA (424 nucleotides) under uncultured prokaryote. RNAcentral describes it as "bacterial SSU rRNA". It matches the Rfam family "Bacterial small subunit ribosomal RNA", at positions 355 to 796 of the family's 1533-position model. The record is from RNAcentral.